UGGGGAAUAUUGGACAAUGGGCGCAAGCCUGAUCCAGCCAUGCCGCGUGAGUGAUGAAGGCCUUAGGGUCGUAAAGCUCUUUCGCCUGUGAAGAUAAUGACGGUAGCAGGUAAAGAAACCCCGGCUAACUCCGUGCCAGCAGCCGCGGUAAUACGGAGGGGGUUAGCGUUGUUCGGAAUUACUGGGCGUAAAGCGCACGUAGGCGGACCAGAAAGUUGGGGGUGAAAUCCCGGGGGCUCAACCCCGGAACUGCCUCCAAAACUAUUGGUCUAGAGUUCGAGAGAGGUGAGUGGAAUUCCAAGUGUAGAGGUGAAAUUCGUAGAUAUUUGGAGGAACACCAGUGGCGAAGGCGGCUCACUGGCUCGAUACUGACGCUGAGGUGCGAAAGUGUGGGGAGCAAACAGGAUUAGAUACCCUGGUAGUCCACACCGUAAAACGAUGAAUGCCAGUCGUCGGGUAGCAUGCUAUUCGGUGACACACCUAACGGAUUAAGCAUUCCGCCUGGGGAGUACGGUCGCAAGAUUAAAACUCAAAUGAAUUG
Molecule: ribosomal RNA, 541 nt
Filed under: uncultured bacterium
Lineage: Bacteria
Description: bacterial SSU rRNA
Rfam family: Bacterial small subunit ribosomal RNA
Source: RNAcentral